AGAGUGGAAUGCAGCCAAGGAUGACUUGCCGGUGUCUUCUCUUCGAAGGGAGAGUGGUUAGUUUUGGUGUUGCCGGCAAGUUUGUCCUUGGCUACGUUUGGCUCUCU
Musa acuminata subsp. malaccensis (wild Malaysian banana) is the source of this 107-nucleotide non-coding RNA. NCBI's taxonomy places the organism in Eukaryota, Viridiplantae, Streptophyta, Magnoliopsida, Zingiberales, Musaceae. The record is from Rfam.